UAGGGAAUCUUCGGCAAUGGGGGGAACCCUGACCGAGCAACGCCGCGUGAGUGAAGAAGGUUUUCGGAUCGUAAAGCUCUGUUGUUAAGGAAGAACGAGUGUGAGAAUGGAAAGUUCAUACUGUGACGGUACUUAACCAGAAAGGGACGGCUAACUACGUGCCAGCAGCCGCGGUAAUACGUAGGUCCCGAGCGUUGUCCGGAUUUAUUGGGCGUAAAGCGAGCGCAGGCGGUUAGAUAAGUCUGAAGUUAAAGGCAGUGGCUCAACCAUUGUAGGCUUUGGAAACUGUUUAACUUGAGUGCAGAAGGGGAGAGUGGAAUUCCAUGUGUAGCGGUGAAAUGCGUAGAUAUAUGGAGGAACACCGGUGGCGAAAGCGGCUCUCUGGUCUGUAACUGACGCUGAGGCUCGAAAGCGUGGGGAGCGAACAGGAUUAGAUACCCUGGUAGUCCACGCCGUAAACGAUGAGUGCUAAGUGUUGGUCUCAUAAGAGAUCAGUGCUGCAGCUAACGCAUUAAGCACUCCGCCUGGGGAGUACGGCCGCAAGGUUG
RNAcentral lists this ribosomal RNA (548 nucleotides) under uncultured bacterium. RNAcentral describes it as "bacterial SSU rRNA". It matches the Rfam family "Bacterial small subunit ribosomal RNA", at positions 355 to 896 of the family's 1533-position model. The record is from RNAcentral.